AGAGUUUGAUUAUGGCUCAGAUUGAACGCUGGCGGCAGGCCUAACACAUGCAAGUCGAACGGUAACAGGAAGCAGCUUGCUGCUUCGCUGACGAGUGGCGGACGGGUGAGUAAUGUCUGGGAAACUGCCUGAUGGAGGGGGAUAACUACUGGAAACGGUAGCUAAUACCGCAUAACGUCGCAAGACCAAAGAGGGGGACCUUAGGGCCUCUUGCCAUCGGAUGUGCCCAGAUGGGAUUAGCUAGUAGGUGGGGUAACGGCUCACCUAGGCGACGAUCCCUAGCUGGUCUGAGAGGAUGACCAGCCACACUGGAACUGAGACACGGUCCAGACUCCUACGGGAGGCAGCAGUGGGGAAUAUUGCACAAUGGGCGCAAGCCUGAUGCAGCCAUGCCGCGUGUAUGAAGAAGGCCUUCGGGUUGUAAAGUACUUUCAGCGGGGAGGAAGGGAGUAAAGUUAAUACCUUUGCUCAUUGACGUUACCCGCAGAAGAAGCACCGGCUAACUCCGUGCCAGCAGCCGCGGUAAU
This 527-nucleotide ribosomal RNA is filed under the name uncultured Gammaproteobacteria bacterium. RNAcentral's name for it is "bacterial SSU rRNA". It matches the Rfam family "Bacterial small subunit ribosomal RNA", at positions 8 to 524 of the family's 1533-position model. Lineage: Bacteria; Pseudomonadati; Pseudomonadota; Gammaproteobacteria. The record is from RNAcentral.